This 376-nucleotide ribosomal RNA is filed under the name uncultured eukaryote. Its description in RNAcentral is "partial 18S ribosomal RNA". It matches the Rfam family "Eukaryotic small subunit ribosomal RNA", at positions 592 to 976 of the family's 1831-position model. The record is from RNAcentral.
CAAGAGCGUAUAUUAAAGUUGCUGCGGUUAAAAAGCUCGUAGUUGGAUUUCAGUCUAGGAAGGUUCACUCGCCGAAAGGUUGUACGUUGAUUUUCCUCAGACUUCGUCAGAAGCUCGUGCUGCACUUAACUGUGUGGUACGAUGUUCUGACCUUUUACCUUGAGGAGAGUAGAGUGUUUCAGGCAGGCUACCCAGCUUGAAUACAUUAGCAUGGAAUAAUGAAAUGGAUCUCGGUUCGAUUUCGUUGGUUCUAGAGCUGAGGUGAUGAUCAAUAGGAACAGGCGAAGGUAUUCGUACUUGAGAGUGAGGAGUGAAAUCCGAUGAUCUCUUAAAGACGAUCCGAGGCGAAAGCAUUUGUCAAGGAUGUUUUCAUUGA